This 24-nucleotide non-coding RNA is filed under the name Arabidopsis thaliana (thale cress). Lineage: Eukaryota; Viridiplantae; Streptophyta; Magnoliopsida; Brassicales; Brassicaceae. The record is from RNAcentral.
GGGUCUCUGUUGAGGUGGCACUUA